This 433-nucleotide ribosomal RNA is filed under the name uncultured bacterium. Its description in RNAcentral is "partial 16S ribosomal RNA". It matches the Rfam family "Bacterial small subunit ribosomal RNA", at positions 29 to 507 of the family's 1533-position model. The record is from RNAcentral.
AGCGAACGCUGGCGGCAGGCCUAACACAUGCAAGUCGAACGAACUCUUCGGAGUUAGUGGCGGACGGGUGAGUAACACGUGGGAACGUGCCUUUUGGUUCGGAAUAACUCAGGGAAACUUGUGCUAAUACCGAAUGUGCCCUUCGGGGGAAAGAUUUAUCGCCAUUAGAGCGGCCCGCGUCUGAUUAGCUAGUUGGUGAGGUAACGGCUCACCAAGGCGACGAUCAGUAGCUGGUCUGAGAGGAUGACCAGCCACACUGGGACUGAUACACGGCCCAGACUCCUACGGGAGGCAGCAGUGGGGAAUCUUGCGCAAUGGGCGAAAGCCUGACGCAGCCAUGCCGCGUGAAUGAUGAAGGUCUUAGGAUUGUAAAAUUCUUUCACCGGGGACGAUAAUGACGGUACCCGGAGAAGAAGCCCCGGCUAACUUCGUG